Molecule: ribosomal RNA, 408 nt
Filed under: uncultured bacterium
Lineage: Bacteria
Description: partial 16S ribosomal RNA
Rfam family: Bacterial small subunit ribosomal RNA
Source: RNAcentral
GACGAACGCUGGCGGCGUGCUUAACACAUGCAAGUCGAACGAAGUGGCGAACGGGUGAGUAAUACGUGGGUAACCUGCCCUCCUUUUUGGGAUAAGCCUUGGAAACGGGGUCUAAUACCGAAUAAAGGGGGAUGGGCUCGCGGCCUAUCAGCUUGUUGGUGGGGUGAUGGCCUACCAAGGCGGUGACGGGUAGCCGGCCUGAGAGGGCGACCGGCCAGAUUAGGACUGGGGUACUGCCCAGAGUCCUACGGGCGGCAGUAGUUGGGGCUACUGCACCAUGGGCGCAAGCCUGAUGCAUCUACGCCGCGUUGGGGAUGAAGGCUUUUGGGUUGUAAACCUCUUGCGCUUUCGAAAGGGUAGUUGCAGAAGAAGCGCCGGCUAACUACGUGCCAGCCGCCGCGGUAAUUC